CCAGCCUGGGCGACAGAGCGAGACUCCAUCUCAAAAAAAGAAAAAAAGAAGAAAAAGGUUAGUUUUAUCUUCCCUUUCAGUAAACAAAGUAUAGGAAACCUCUGGCUGGAGGGACAGAAGACCCAGAUUUUCUUCCUGGUUCUACCAGCUGUGGGUCUGGAGGCAAGUCAUGAAAUCUCUCAAGGCCUCAGUUUCCAUCUGUGAAAUGGGGGAUGGCGUCUACCCUGAGUGCCUCGCAGCGGGGAUGUGAGUAUCAAGGCCAGCACUUUGUACUUUCCAAAGGCCUGUCCCCGUCCUCUCUUCCUCACCGUCCUGCACACAGAAACGUCAGGUGCAUGUGCUAACAUGAGAUGGGUCAUCUAGAUCUAACCUAGAUGACCCACCCUCAUACACACUGCAGAUAGGGAGUUUUCCCACUAACGAGCCUUCAGAAACAUUGAGUUUUUUCCUCUUUGUUUUUCAGGGGACACCCACUCACCUACACCUGUGUGAUGUGCAUGUGUGGGAGCUUGUGACGGUCACACAGUCAUGACAUGAAGAGAGCCAUGGGAAGGAGGCACAGGAAGUGGUUGGUGCUGGGGCACAAUAUGACAUUCAGCACCAAACAAGGCACAAGAGGUUCCUGGCCACCCGUGUGAUCAGAGUUCCACUGUGUGACCCGUUGUCACAGGUGCCACCUACAAGGGCCAGAUGCCCCUGAAGAACCUCAAGCAGGAUGGAUCUGCCUAAACUUCCACGUGUCCAGGCAGAACCAUUCACAUGGUGGAGUCCAGAAAGGGACAUCCUGCCCAGUUGAUCCUGACCACCUUGCUGCAUUCAGAACUCCCCAUAGUGAUGAGCAGCCCACUUUAUAAAGACUAGGAAUAAGCCCCACUGUCUCCUGUACUGGGCAGAGAAGCAGGGCCACCUUACAGAAUUGGAUCAGCUGCUCCAGCCAAGAAAGAGCUCACCACAUCUGUCCCUGAGCCAAGAGAUCAGUCUGGAGCAGUGGCCUCCACACUCCCACACUGGAGGAGGCUUCCUGACGGAGGCUGGCGGCCUUCACGAGUUGUUUCAGUCUGCUUUGAAUUCUGCAAAGAUCCAGUAUGUCCAGGCCCUUAAUCAACUACAAUGGUAGUCACCUUGAAUGUAAGGGGAGCUGCAGUUAGACUGGAUUGGAAGUAAAAGAGCAUUUUCAAAUA
Molecule: non-coding RNA, 1181 nt
Organism: Macaca mulatta (Rhesus monkey)
Lineage: Eukaryota; Metazoa; Chordata; Mammalia; Primates; Cercopithecidae
Source: RefSeq, a predicted model, not a curated record